This 253-nucleotide ribosomal RNA is filed under the name uncultured bacterium. RNAcentral's name for it is "partial 16S ribosomal RNA". It matches the Rfam family "Bacterial small subunit ribosomal RNA", at positions 524 to 776 of the family's 1533-position model. The record is from RNAcentral.
UACGUAGGGGGCAAGCGCUAUCCGGAUUUACUGGGUGUAAAGGGAGCGUAGACGGCUUUGCAAGCCAGAUGUGAAAGCCCGGGGCUCAACCCCGGGACUGCAUUUGGAACUGUAUGGCUGGAGUGUCGGAGAGGCAGGCGGAAUUCCUAGUGUAGCGGUGAAAUGCGUAGAUAUUAGGAGGAACACCAGUGGCGAAGGCGGCCUGCUGGACGAUGACUGACGUUGAGGCUCGAAAGCGUGGGGAGCAAACAGG